GGGCGGUUAGCUCAGCUGGUUAGAGCACUACGUUGACAUCGUAGGGGUCGUGAGUUCGAGUCUCACAUCGCCCACCA
This 77-nucleotide transfer RNA is filed under the name Lentisphaerota bacterium. Its description in RNAcentral is "Lentisphaerae bacterium (hot springs metagenome) tRNA-Val". It matches the Rfam family "tRNA". From Rfam's summary of the family: Transfer RNA (tRNA) molecules are approximately 80 nucleotides in length. Their secondary structure includes four short double-helical elements and three loops (D, anti-codon, and T loops). Lineage: Bacteria; Pseudomonadati; Lentisphaerota. The record is from RNAcentral.